GAUGAACGCUGGCGGCGUGCCUAAUACAUGCAAGUCGAGCGAACGGACGAGAAGCUUGCUUCUUUGAUGUUAGCGGCGGACGGGUGAGUAACACGUGGAUAACCUACCUAUAAGACUUGGAUAACUUCGGGAAACCGGAGCUAAUACCGGCUAAUAUUUUGAACCGCAUGGUUCAAAAGUGAAAGACGGUCUUGCUGUCACUUAUAGAUUGAUCCGCCCUGCAUUAGCUAGUUGGUAAGGUAACGGCGUACCAAGGCAACGAUCCAUAGCCGACCUGAGAGGGUGAUCGGCCACACUGGAACUGAGACACGGUCCAGACUCCUACGGGAGGAAGCAGUAGGGAAUCUUCCGCAAUGGGCGAAAGCCUGACGGAGCAACGCCGCGUGAGUGAUGAAGGUCUUCGGAUCGUAAAACUCUGUUAUUAGGGAAGAACAUAUGUGUAAGUAACUGUGCACAUCUUGACGGUACCUAAUCAGAAAGCCACGGCUAACUACGUG
This 497-nucleotide ribosomal RNA is filed under the name uncultured bacterium. Its description in RNAcentral is "partial 16S ribosomal RNA". It matches the Rfam family "Bacterial small subunit ribosomal RNA", at positions 28 to 507 of the family's 1533-position model. The record is from RNAcentral.